This 2924-nucleotide ribosomal RNA is filed under the name Shigella sonnei. RNAcentral's name for it is "bacterial LSU rRNA". It matches the Rfam family "Bacterial large subunit ribosomal RNA". The record is from RNAcentral. Lineage: Bacteria; Pseudomonadati; Pseudomonadota; Gammaproteobacteria; Enterobacterales; Enterobacteriaceae.
GGGUUGUGAGGUUAAGCGACUAAGCGUACACGGUGGAUGCCCUGGCAGUCAGAGGCGAUGAAGGACGUGCUAAUCUGCGAUAAGCGUCGGUAAGGUGAUAUGAACCGUUAUAACCGGCGAUUUCCGAAUGGGGAAACCCAGUGUGAUUCGUCACACUAUCAUUAACUGAAUCCAUAGGUUAAUGAGGCGAACCGGGGGAACUGAAACAUCUAAGUACCCCGAGGAAAAGAAAUCAACCGAGAUUCCCCCAGUAGCGGCGAGCGAACGGGGAGCAGCCCAGAGCCUGAAUCAGUGUGUGUGUUAGUGGAAGCGUCUGGAAAGGCGCGCGAUACAGGGUGACAGCCCCGUACACAAAAAUGCACAUAUUGUGAGCUCGAUGAGUAGGGCGGGACACGUGGUAUCCUGUCUGAAUAUGGGGGGCCCAUCCUCCAAGGCUAAAUACUCCUGACUGACCGAUAGUGAACCAGUACCGUGAGGGAAAGGCGAAAAGAACCCCGGCGAGGGGAGUGAAAAAGAACCUGAAACCGUGUACGUACAAGCAGUGGGAGCACGCUUAGGCGUGUGACUGCGUACCUUUUGUAUAAUGGGUCAGCGACUUAUAUUCUGUAGCAAGGUUAACCGAAUAGGGGAGCCGAAGGGAAACCGAGUCUUAACUGGGCGUUAAGUUGCAGGGUAUAGACCCGAAACCCGGUGAUCUAGCCAUGGGCAGGUUGAAGGUUGGGUAACACUAACUGGAGGACCGAACCGACUAAUGUUGAAAAAUUAGCGGAUGACUUGUGGCUGGGGGUGAAAGGCCAAUCAAACCGGGAGAUAGCUGGUUCUCCCCGAAAGCUAUUUAGGUAGCGCCUCGUGAAUUCAUCUCCGGGGUAGAGCACUGUUUCGGCAAGGGGGUCAUCCCGACUUACCAACCCGAUGCAAACUGCGAAUACCGGAGAAUGUUAUCACGGGAGACACACGGCGGGUGCUAACGUCCGUCGUGAAGAGGGAAACAACCCAGACCGCCAGCUAAGGUCCCAAAGUCAUGGUUAAGUGGGAAACGAUGUGGGAAGGCCCAGACAGCCAGGAUGUUGGCUUAGAAGCAGCCAUCAUUUAAAGAAAGCGUAAUAGCUCACUGGUCGAGUCGGCCUGCGCGGAAGAUGUAACGGGGCUAAACCAUGCACCGAAGCUGCGGCAGCGACGCUUAUGCGUUGUUGGGUAGGGGAGCGUUCUGUAAGCCUGCGAAGGUGUGCUGUGAGGCAUGCUGGAGGUAUCAGAAGUGCGAAUGCUGACAUAAGUAACGAUAAAGCGGGUGAAAAGCCCGCUCGCCGGAAGACCAAGGGUUCCUGUCCAACGUUAAUCGGGGCAGGGUGAGUCGACCCCUAAGGCGAGGCCGAAAGGCGUAGUCGAUGGGAAACAGGUUAAUAUUCCUGUACUUGGUGUUACUGCGAAGGGGGGACGGAGAAGGCUAUGUUGGCCGGGCGACGGUUGUCCCGGUUUAAGCGUGUAGGCUGGUUUUCCAGGCAAAUCCGGAAAAUCAAGGCUGAGGCGUGAUGACGAGGCACUACGGUGCUGAAGCAACAAAUGCCCUGCUUCCAGGAAAAGCCUCUAAGCAUCAGGUAACAUCAAAUCGUACCCCAAACCGACACAGGUGGUCAGGUAGAGAAUACCAAGGCGCUUGAGAGAACUCGGGUGAAGGAACUAGGCAAAAUGGUGCCGUAACUUCGGGAGAAGGCACGCUGAUAUGUAGGUGAAGUCCCUUGCGGAUGGAGCUGAAAUCAGUCGAAGAUACCAGCUGGCUGCAACUGUUUAUUAAAAACACAGCACUGUGCAAACACGAAAGUGGACGUAUACGGUGUGACGCCUGCCCGGUGCCGGAAGGUUAAUUGAUGGGGUCAGCGCAAGCGAAGCUCUUGAUCGAAGCCCCGGUAAACGGCGGCCGUAACUAUAACGGUCCUAAGGUAGCGAAAUUCCUUGUCGGGUAAGUUCCGACCUGCACGAAUGGCGUAAUGAUGGCCAGGCUGUCUCCACCCGAGACUCAGUGAAAUUGAACUCGCUGUGAAGAUGCAGUGUACCCGCGGCAAGACGGAAAGACCCCGUGAACCUUUACUAUAGCUUGACACUGAACAUUGAGCCUUGAUGUGUAGGAUAGGUGGGAGGCUUUGAAGUGUGGACGCCAGUCUGCAUGGAGCCGGCCUUGAAAUACCACCCUUUAAUGUUUGAUGUUCUAACGUGGACCCGUGAUCCGGGUUGCGGACAGUGUCUGGUGGGUAGUUUGACUGGGGCGGUCUCCUCCUAAAGAGUAACGGAGGAGCACGAAGGUUGGCUAAUCCUGGUCGGACAUCAGGAGGUUAGUGCAAUGGCAUAAGCCAGCUUGACUGCGAGCGUGACGGCGCGAGCAGGUGCGAAAGCAGGUCAUAGUGAUCCGGUGGUUCUGAAUGGAAGGGCCAUCGCUCAACGGAUAAAAGGUACUCCGGGGAUAACAGGCUGAUACCGCCCAAGAGUUCAUAUCGACGGCGGUGUUUGGCACCUCGAUGUCGGCUCAUCACAUCCUGGGGCUGAAGUAGGUCCCAAGGGUAUGGCUGUUCGCCAUUUAAAGUGGUACGCGAGCUGGGUUUAGAACGUCGUGAGACAGUUCGGUCCCUAUCUGCCGUGGGCGCUGGAGAACUGAGGGGGGCUGCUCCUAGUACGAGAGGACCGGAGUGGACGCAUCACUGGUGUUCGGGUUGUCAUGCCAAUGGCACUGCCCGGUAGCUAAAUGCGGAAGAGAUAAGUGCUGAAAGCAUCUAAGCACGAAACUUGCCCCGAGAUGAGUUCUCCCUGACCCUUUAAGGGUCCUGAAGGAACGUUGAAGACGACGACGUUGAUAGGCCGGGUGUGUAAGCGCAGCGAUGCGUUGAGCUAACCGGUACUAAUGAACCGUGAGGCUUAACCUUACAACGCCGAAG